Molecule: long non-coding RNA, 1743 nt
Organism: Lactuca sativa (garden lettuce)
Lineage: Eukaryota; Viridiplantae; Streptophyta; Magnoliopsida; Asterales; Asteraceae
Source: RefSeq, a predicted model, not a curated record
UCUCAUCCUUUACCUCUCUUUCAACAUUUAUCAUUUAGCCAGGUUGGUUGUGAAUCCGGUCGACCGUCGCUUUGGUUAAGACGCCAUAUUCCUUCAAAGGGAUAACCGUUUGAAAGACCUUUCUCCCUAACUCUUGCUGCUGAAUAAUCAUCUCCUUUCCUACGACAAGGCUCUGAUAUCUCUUUGAUACAUGCGCCUAUAUGUCCCUCUUAGUUUUAUUCUUUCUUCUUCUUUAUAUUUUGGUGUUGGAGUCAUCUAGCCAUCGCUAGGGUUUAAAGAUUAUAAUUGUAAAAAAUUCUUCAUGCACACCAUGUUGCUUCAAAGUGGAUCCACUUUGUCUUCAUGUUAGACUCUCUUGUAUCCGUCGUCUGGAUAAUUACCUACUUCCAAUGUCUCCCGAUUGUCAGGAUAUAUGGGCUAGGGUUCUUCUUACCGACUUCUAUUAUUGCAAAAAACGCCUCCCUAUUUCAUCCUUUUUCGGUUUUCUUGUUCCCUGUUGUUGACGAUGUUUGUCUUUAUUCUAUUUGAAUCCUAUCACAGAAGAAGGCACAAAGGGCGAUUAGAGGCAAGCAUGUGAGAAUAAUUCGCGAUUCAUACUGGGAUUGGACCUGUUGACUGUGGUGCCCAGUUAUUUGGGGUUUUUGCCGACUUUCGAAUCAUAAAAAUGUUAUUUGUAACCCGAUUGAAAAGUUUUCUCUUAGGUUUUCUUACAAAUAUUGCGAGUUUAAGUUGGAUUUUUUUUGUAAGUUUUGUGAUUUUAAACAAGUUCUGAUUUUUUUUUUUUUUUGAAAGUUUAACGAUUUUUAAUAGUUUCUCGGUAAAAGAAUGUCUUCGCGGCUUCCUUUCUACUACUGGUUUGUGGUGGUGGACAUAGUCUUUCCUCUAUCUCGGUUGCCUUCCAUUUCCAUUCCCACUAACCACAAUUCUUUUGGUUAUAGGUUUUUGUUUUCUUUUUAUUAAUGCUUCUUGCACAUCUAUAUUUCAUGCAUUAUAUUUUUGCGUGCUUCCCGUUACACUUAAUUUCCAUUUUGCCUAACCACAUCUUGAAUAAAAAGAGAAGCUUUCAAGGAAAAUUUUAAAAUGCUAGAGUUUUGGUGAAAUUUUUCCCAAAUUUAUGGUCUUUUAAUCAAGUAUGCACUAAAAAAAGUCCUUGACUUGUGUAUUUCCCAAUGGAUUUCCAAUGGUGAUUCAAUAGACAAUUAUAGUAUUUACACCCCCUCAUGUAAAGUUAUUACUUUCAAUUAAAUUAGAGAACUCUUUUAUUAAAAGAAGAUACUAACAUUAUGAAGUUUUUUGGAGCACAAUCAACAAUCAUAUUAUUAGUAUUAUGUGAGUUUGUUAUUUUCUCUAUUUCAUAUCCAUGGUCGGUGUUACUUUUAUAUUAUGGCAGGUCCUUAUGAUGAUUUGGGCGACACUAAGGAUUUUUCAAAUGAUGGAACACAAGUGAUGGCUUUGGUAGCAAAGUGAAAAGUUAACUGAGAACAUUAUUUUUGCAAUAGUCAAGGCCAACAAAAGGAAGGAAUAUGAGGUAUCUAUCUCUUCAACCAGGUGGAGAUUUAUUCACAAUUCUGGAAGAGAUAAUGGUCAAAUUUAUUUUGUAUUGUGAUUUAGAGUCCUCUUUAUUGCAAUUAAUGAAGACAAAGUCACGUUUGUGGAUUUUGAUGGAAUGUAAUGGUAUUGGAAUUGGGAUUACAUGUAUUUUGUAAAUAUAUUGUGGAAGUGAAUGUAGGCAAUUAGUCUUUA